RNAcentral lists this ribosomal RNA (467 nucleotides) under uncultured bacterium. Its description in RNAcentral is "partial 16S ribosomal RNA". It matches the Rfam family "Bacterial small subunit ribosomal RNA", at positions 28 to 507 of the family's 1533-position model. The record is from RNAcentral.
GACGAACGCUGGCGGCGUGCUUAACACAUGCAAGUCGAACGGGAAGGCCUCUUUCGGGGGGUACUCGAGUGGCGAACGGGUGAGUAACACGUGAGUAACCUGCCCUUGACUUUGGGAUAACUUCAGGAAACUGGGGCUAAUACCGGAUAGGAGCUCCUGCUGCAUGGUGGGGGUUGGAAAGUUUCGGCGGUUGGGGAUGGACUCGCGGCUUAUCAGCUUGUUGGUGGGGUAGUGGCUUACCAAGGCUUUGACGGGUAGCCGGCCUGAGAGGGUGACCGGCCACAUUGGGACUGAGAUACGGCCCAGACUCCUACGGGAGGCAGCAGUGGGGAAUAUUGCACAAUGGGUGGAAGCCGGAUGCAGCAACGCCGUGUGCGGGAUGACGGCCUUCGGGUUGUAAACCGCUUUCGCUCAUGACGAAGCUUUGUGUGACGGUAGUGGGUAAAGAAGCACCGGCUAACUACGUG